Molecule: ribosomal RNA, 269 nt
Filed under: uncultured bacterium
Lineage: Bacteria
Description: partial 16S ribosomal RNA
Rfam family: Bacterial small subunit ribosomal RNA
Source: RNAcentral
UACGAAGGGGGCUAGCGUUGCUCGGAAUCACUGGGCGUAAAGGGUGCGUAGGCGGGUCUUUAAGUCAGGGGUGAAAUCCUGGAGCUCAACUCCAGAACUGCCUUUGAUACUGAGGAUCUUGAGUUCGGGAGAGGUGAGUGGAACUGCGAGUGUAGAGGUGAAAUUCGUAGAUAUUCGCAAGAACACCAGUGGCGAAGGCGGCUCACUGGUCCCGGUACUGACGCUGAGGUGCGAAAAGCAGGGAUGGGCAAACAGGGAUUAGAAACCCU